Molecule: transfer RNA, 73 nt
Filed under: Stegodyphus mimosarum
Lineage: Eukaryota; Metazoa; Arthropoda; Arachnida; Araneae; Eresidae
Rfam family: tRNA
About the family: Transfer RNA (tRNA) molecules are approximately 80 nucleotides in length.
Source: Rfam by way of RNAcentral
GCCUUCGUGGUGAAGUGGUCAGCACAGUGGGCGCGUAUUCCAGAGGUCCGUGGUUCGAGUCCCCGCGAAGGCG